Small nuclear RNA from Camelus dromedarius (Arabian camel), 107 nucleotides. The record is from Ensembl. NCBI's taxonomy places the organism in Eukaryota, Metazoa, Chordata, Mammalia, Artiodactyla, Camelidae.
GUGCUUGCUUCGGCAGCACGUAUACUAAAAUUGGAACGAUACAGAGAAGAUCAGCAUGGGGUCUGCGCAAGGAUGACUCACAAAUUUGUGCAGCGUUCCAUAUUUUU